Molecule: ribosomal RNA, 468 nt
Filed under: uncultured bacterium
Lineage: Bacteria
Description: partial 16S ribosomal RNA
Rfam family: Bacterial small subunit ribosomal RNA
Source: RNAcentral
GACGAACGCUGGCGGCGUGCUUAACACAUGCAAGUCGAACGGAAAGGCCCUGCUUUUGUGGGGUUCUCGAGUGGCGAACGGGUGAGUAACACAUGAGUAACCUGCCCUUGACUUUGUGAUAACUUCAGGAAACUGGGGCUAAUACCGGAGAGGAGCUCCUGCUGCAUGGUGGGGGUUGGAAAGUUUCGGCGGUUGGGGAUGGACUCGCGGCUUAUCAGCUUGUUGGUGGGGUAGUGGCUUACCAAGGGUUUGACGGGUAGCCGGCCUGAGAGGUUGACCGGACACAUUGGGACUGAGAUACGGACCAGACUCCUAUGGGAGGCAGCAGUGGGGAAUAUUGCACAAUGGGCGGAAGCCUGAUGCAGCAACGCCGCGUGCGGGAUGACGGCUUUCGGGUUGUAAACCGCUUUCGCCUGUGACGAAGCGUGAGUGACGGUAAUGGGUAAAGAAGCACCGGCUAACUACGUG